Long non-coding RNA from Arabidopsis thaliana (thale cress), 816 nucleotides. RefSeq annotates it as other RNA. Lineage: Eukaryota; Viridiplantae; Streptophyta; Magnoliopsida; Brassicales; Brassicaceae. The transcript has a single exon. The record is from RefSeq.
CUAUAUAAAAUAAUAUGAUAGUCGCCUACCUACGAUGCUAGGUAUCAAACUAUAUACCAAUCUCAUAAGAGUUGAAAUUAUUCCAUAUGAUCUAAGAAAACACAGGAUAGAACAAAACUAUUUCUUAGCAUAUAAAAAAUAAGAAAUGUUAUUAAACAAAAACUAUGUUAUCUAACUUUAAAAUACUAUAUCAAUUAUCAAAAUUACCCGGGCGUAGCCCAAAUAUUUUCUCUAGUAGUUAAUAAAUACAUCUUGAUUACUUGAUAUGAUUACUUGUUGCUCUGGUUUGCAGGUUCUUCUUGGGGUUGUUAGGAUUUUUCGGAAUCUUCUUUUUGUAGGAUUUUUGCAUGGGUCUUGUUUGAGUGAAGUUUCUGUUUUGGCCAUUUAAUUGCUUAUCGUGGUGUUGUGUUUGUCAUUUAAUAUCCUGGAAAAUCUCUCCUUUAUGAUGAGACGGACUCGAUUCUUUUUGCCCUUAGCUUUGGGCUCAUGUUCUAUGGUUGGUUCUUUUCUCUCAUUAAGAUCUAUUUCGUUUUGGAGUUUGUGGUUCGCUUUUUUGCCAUCUUAAGCGGUAUCUCUUCCAGUUUGAGGUUAUCGACUUCUCGGGUUGGUUUGACAUGUUUAAUACUAUCGACUACAAAAAGAUAGGCUAUUUCCAAUGGACGAAAUCGUCGGAAUAACGAUGGAAACAGCCGUAUUCGACGAAUUUUCGACGACAUAGAUUGGUCGAUUCUAUCUCGUCGGAAAUCUGAAUGUCGUCGCAAACGUGUUACAAAUUACCGACGGGUUUCCGACGAGGUAUUUUCCGACAAUUUCUAU